This 250-nucleotide ribosomal RNA is filed under the name uncultured bacterium. Its description in RNAcentral is "partial 16S ribosomal RNA". It matches the Rfam family "Bacterial small subunit ribosomal RNA", at positions 524 to 773 of the family's 1533-position model. The record is from RNAcentral.
GACGAACCGUGCGAACGUUGUUCGGAUUCACUGGGCUUAAAGGGCGCGUAGGCGGGCAUCCAAGUCAGGGGUGAAAUCUUUCGGCCCAACCGGAAAAGUGCCUUUGAUACUGGGUGUCUCGAGUGAGGUAGGGGCAUGUGGAACUUCCGGUGGAGCGGUGAAAUGCGUAGAUAUCGGAAGGAACGCCGGUGGCGAAAGCGACGUGCUGGACCUCAACUGACGCUGAGGCGCGAAAGCCAGGGGAGCAAAC